GUGACGCCGCUAUAAACCCGCCCCUCGGCCUGCGAGGCCGAACGGGAAGCGCCAGCAGCAGCAACAACAACAACAGCAGCAGCAGUCGUCAGCAGCAACAACAACAACAGCAGCAGAAGCAGCAACAACAACAGCAGCAGCAGUCGUCAGCAGCAGCAACAACAACAACAGCAGUAGCAGCAGAAGCAGCAACAGUAGCAGCAGCAGCAAGAAGCAGCAGCAGGAGGAGCUGCUGCUGCAGGCGGCGGCUUCUUCCCCACUUGUCAAGGCUGGUGGCGGUGGUUGUCGUGGUUUCCUUAUUGCGCUCCAAACCGGGAGUGCCACAGUCCGCGUCCGAGGUCUACGCGAGCCCCGGUCUGACCUUGCUGUUGUGGAAUCGCGUUCAAGUGGCGUUGUCUCCACCAUUGCCCCACUGCGACCAUUGCAGCCGCCCCCUACCCCUCGCGGUAGCAACAACAAUAACAGCGGCUGC
Molecule: long non-coding RNA, 472 nt
Organism: Lethenteron reissneri (Far Eastern brook lamprey)
Lineage: Eukaryota; Metazoa; Chordata; Hyperoartia; Petromyzontiformes; Petromyzontidae
Source: RefSeq, a predicted model, not a curated record